This 490-nucleotide long non-coding RNA is filed under the name Mytilus galloprovincialis (Mediterranean mussel). Lineage: Eukaryota; Metazoa; Mollusca; Bivalvia; Mytilida; Mytilidae. The record is from RNAcentral.
GGUCGACAGUAAAACGUUUGUAGGUUGUAACUUGUUUGUCAACGGCUAUGAUUUUAUGCUCACCCAGUCUGUCAGAGGCCUUCCAGUGGGGAUUGAAAUAUUCACUUGUUACACAUUCCGAUACAUAAAAUGAAAUUUUCUUUUUACAAAGCUUGAAAGGAAUUUGUUUUAAAUAUUUAUUAUAAUCAUCACAUACAACCGUGUCAUUUAUAAGAAUAAUAAUGUUCAGAGAUGAUAUAUUAUUUAAUAAUAAUAAAAAAAAUAGGUUUAUCCAUUGUAAAAAAAACUAUUAAGUUGAUGGGGUUAAUUCACAAAAUAUCUCAUUGAUUAAGAGCACAACUACUUCUACGGUGUGAUCAUUUAAGAAUGGCCUACUAUUUAUUCAAUGCGUAUACAUGUGGGUUUUGUUUGUGAAGAGUUCUGGAUAAUUAAAAAAUCAUUUGAUUUCUUUUUUUAAUACCAUAAAACGAUUCAUUCUUUCAGAUAUUUG